UAGUCAUAUGCUUGUCUCAAAGAUUAAGCCAUGCAUGUCUAAGUAUAAAUAACUUUUAUAUUGUGAAACUGCGAAUGGCUCAUUAAAUCAGUUAUGAUCUACGUGACAAAUUCUUUACUACUUGGAUAACCGUGGUAAUUCUAGAGCUAAUACAUGCAAAAAAGCCCUGACUUACGAAGGGGUGCACUUAUUAGAUAAAACCAACGCGGGGUAAAACCUGUUUCUUGGUGAAUCAUAAUAAUUAAGCGGAUCGCAUAGCCUUGUGCUGGCGACGGUC
Molecule: ribosomal RNA, 277 nt
Filed under: uncultured eukaryote
Lineage: Eukaryota
Description: partial 18S ribosomal RNA
Rfam family: Eukaryotic small subunit ribosomal RNA
Source: RNAcentral